Molecule: ribosomal RNA, 427 nt
Filed under: uncultured bacterium
Lineage: Bacteria
Description: partial 16S ribosomal RNA
Rfam family: Bacterial small subunit ribosomal RNA
Source: RNAcentral
UGGGGAAUAUUGGACAAUGGGCGAAAGCCUGAUCCAGCCAUGCCGCGUGUGUGAAGAAGGUCUUCGGAUUGUAAAGCACUUUAAGUUGGGAGGAAGGGCAUUAACCUAAUACGUUAGUGUUUUGACGUUACCGACACAAUAAGCACCGGCUAACUCUGUGCCAGCAGCCGCGGUAAUACAGAGGGUGCAAGCGUUAAUCGGAAUUACUGGGCGUAAAGCGCGCGUAGGUGGUUUGUUAAGUUGGAUGUGAAAUCCCCGGGCUCAACCUGGGAACUGCAUUCAAAACUGACUGACUAGAGUAUGGUAGAGGGUGGUGGAAUUUCCUGUGUAGCGGUGAAAUGCGUAGAUAUAGGAAGGAACACCAGUGGCGAAGGCGACCACCUGGACUAAUACUGACACUGAGGUGCGAAAGCGUGGGGAGCAAACA